Molecule: non-coding RNA, 57 nt
Organism: Actinotalea fermentans
Lineage: Bacteria; Bacillati; Actinomycetota; Actinomycetes; Micrococcales; Cellulomonadaceae
Source: Rfam
GGCACCCCCGACUCCACUCGGAUCGUCCGGCACGUACCUGCCGGUGGAGGGAAUGCA